AUGGAGGGUAGUGACCGAUGGGCUUCGGCCAUGCCUGGCUCCGUUCUCCAGGGAGCGGCUGCGGUGUUAGCUUCGUUAUUAAUCCUUUGGUUAUUCAGAUGGUACUGCAGUAGCUCAAUCACGGCAAAAGGGAGGCUGCCGCCGGGGUCCAGGGGUCUCCCCGUCCUCGGGGAGACCCUCCAGUUCUUCGCCGGGAGCCCAUCUCUGGAGCUGCACCCGUUCUUCAAGCGACGCCUUGAAAGGUACGGCCCGAUUUUCAGGACGAAUUUGAUCGGCGUAGACCUCAUCGUUUCCCUCGACGCGGAGCUGAACAACCUGGUGUUCCAGCAAGACGAGAGGCUCUUCGAGAACUGGUGGCCGGAGUCGGUGAUGAGGAUCUUCGGCGCCGAGAGCAUCAUCCCAUCCAUGGGGUCCUUCCACAAGCACGCCAAGAACCUCAUCCUCCGGAUCUUCGGCCCCGAGAACCUCAGGCUGGUCCUGCUCCAGGACGUGCAGAGGACGGCUCAGGCGAGCCUGCUCUCGUGGCUUGACCUGCCAAGCGUCGAGCUCAAGGAGGCGACCUCCAGUAUGAUAUUCAGCGUGACAGCCAAGAGACUCAUCAGCUACGACUCCUCAAGUUCAGACGGGAAGCUGUGGAAACAGUUCGACGCGUUCAUUCGGGGGCUCCUAGCGUUUCCACUUUACAUUCCUGGGACAGCCUUCUACCAGUGUAUGCAGGGGCGCAAGGAAGUCAUGAAGAUACUGCGUAAACUUUUCGAUGAAAGGAAAAAGGCACCUUCUCGACUGGAAAAAGUUGAUUUUAUUGAUCUCUUGAUCGACACUAUCAAGGAGGACAAGCUUGCAAUGAGCGACAAUUUUGCACUGAAUUUGAUCUUCCUGCUGCUCUUCGCUGGCUUCGAGACAACGUCGUCCGGGAUAACUGCUGCAAUCAAGUUUCUGACAGACAAUCCCAAGGCCUUGCAAGAACUAACGGACGAACAUGAGAACAUUCGGAAAAGAAGGGCAAGUCCUGAUGCUGAAAUCACAUGGGAGGAAUACAAAUCCAUGAAAUUUACAUCUUGUGUCAUACACGAGUCAUUAAGAAUGGCCAAUAUUGCUCCAUUAUUAUUUAAGAAAGCAAGAGAGGAUGUUCACAUAAAAGCUUACACUAUCCCAAAAGGAUCAAAGGUCAUGGUUUGUCCUUCCAUUGUUCACCUUAAUCCUACUAUUUAUGAGGACCCCAAUGUAUUCAACCCUUGGAGGUGGAAGGAAAUUGCCGAGCCACUUGGUGGAGCCUCCAAAGACUUCAUGGCCUUCGGAGGAGGUUUGCGAUUAUGUGUUGGUGCUGAGUUUGCUAAGUUGCAAAUGGCUAUUUUCCUCCAUUCCUUAGUUACUAAAUACAGGUGGAAAGCGAUUAAGGGGGGCAUCAUGGUGCUUUCUCCAGGGCUACGGUUUCCUGAUGGUUUUCACAUCCAGCUUAUCCACAAAUCUUGA
This 1473-nucleotide ribosomal RNA is filed under the name Triticum aestivum (bread wheat). RNAcentral describes it as "partial small subunit ribosomal RNA". The record is from RNAcentral. Lineage: Eukaryota; Viridiplantae; Streptophyta; Magnoliopsida; Poales; Poaceae.